GACAGAGGUGCCAAGCGUUAGGCGGAAUCACUGGGCUUAAAGCGUGUGUAGGCGGACUUGUAAGUACCUUGUAAAAUCCCACGGCUCAACCGUGGAACUGCUUGGUAUACUGCUUGUCUUGAGCCACUUAGGGGCUACCGGAACAAAUGGUGGAGCGGUGAAAUGCGUAGAUAUCAUUUGGAACGCCAAUGGUGAAAACAGGUAGCUGGGAGUGUGCUGACGCUGAGGCGCGAAAGCCAGGGGAGCAAACGGG
RNAcentral lists this ribosomal RNA (253 nucleotides) under uncultured bacterium. RNAcentral describes it as "partial 16S ribosomal RNA". It matches the Rfam family "Bacterial small subunit ribosomal RNA", at positions 524 to 776 of the family's 1533-position model. The record is from RNAcentral.